UUGCUGCGGUUAAAAAGCUCGUAGUUGGAUCUGGGUCACCGGCGGGCGGUCCGUGUCGUCCAUUCGGCGCGUGAAUUCGCUAUGCGCGUUAUUUUCCACUUUGUUGGAAUGACGCUGCCGGCGUUAUGUUUCAAUUCUACUACGCGUAGUUUUGUGCGUUUCGUCGGUCGCCGGGACUACCUGUCGAGCCGUGUAGCAUUCUCUUCAGUGAGUGUGCUGCACGUUCGGUGCGUUUACUUUGAAAAAAUUAGAGUGCUCAAAGCAAGCGUAUAGCUGCCGCAAGGUGGCUUGAAUAGUGGUGCAUGGAAUAAUAGAAUAGGACUUCGCGUUCUAGUUUGUUGGUUUUUAGCUCUCGAAGUAAUGAUUAAGAGGGACAGACGGGGGCAUUCGUAUUGUGUCGUUAGAGGUGAAAUUCUUGGAUCGACGCAAGACGAACUAAUGCGAAAGCAUUUGCCAAGAAUGUUUUCAUUAAUCACAGAACGAAAGUUAGAGGUUCGAAGGCGAUCAGAUACCGCCCUAGUUCUAACCAUAAACGAUGCCAACCUGCGAUCCGCCGUAGCUCUAUUAUGAACGACGCGGCGGGCAGCUUCCGGGAAACCAAAGUCUUUGGGUUCCGGGGGAAGUAUGGUUGCAAAGCUGAAACUUAAAGGAAUUGACGGAAGGGCACCACCAGGAGUGGAGCCUGCGGCUUAAUUUGACUCAACACGGGGAAACUCACCCGGCCCGGACACUGUAAGGAUUGACAGAUUGAGAGCUCUUUCAAGAUUCGGUGGUUGGUGGUGCAUGGCCGUUCUUAGUUGGUGGAGUGAUUUGUCUGGUUAAUUCCGAUAACGAACGAGACUUUAACCUAUUAACUAGCCAACCGGUCAUGACUCGUAUGUUUGUUGUUUCGGCAAUGAGCGUAUGUUGUCAAUGCCGGUUGCAUAAAUGCUUCUUAGAGGGACAGGCGGUAUAUUUGAAGCCGCACGAAGCUAAGCAAUAACAGGUCUGUGAUGCCCUUAGAUGUCCGGGGCCGCACGCGCGCUACAAUGAAAGAAUCAGUGAGUUUGUUCGUUCCUGGGCUGAAAGGCUUGGGAAAUCCGCUGAAACUCUUUCGUAAUUGGAAUUGAGCUUUGUAAUUAUCGCUCAUGAACNNNNAAUUCCCAGUAAGCGCGAGUCAUCAGCUCGCGCUGAUUACGUCCCUGCCCUUUGUACACACCGCCCGUCGCUACUACCGAUUGGAUGAUCUAGUGAGGUCUUCGGACUGACAGGCGAAGCUGUUAGCUUCGG
Molecule: ribosomal RNA, 1269 nt
Filed under: Florarctus sp. 1 AJ-2010
Lineage: Eukaryota; Metazoa; Tardigrada; Heterotardigrada; Arthrotardigrada; Halechiniscidae
Description: SSU rRNA
Rfam family: Eukaryotic small subunit ribosomal RNA
Source: RNAcentral